GUCUACGGCCAUACCACCCUGAACGUGCCGCCCGAUCUCAUCUGAUCUCAGAAGCUAAGCAGGGUCGGGCCUGGUUACUACUUGGAUGGGAGAACAUUUGAUCUAACCAAGACCUUAUAAACU
This 123-nucleotide ribosomal RNA is filed under the name Prolemur simus (greater bamboo lemur). The record is from RNAcentral. Lineage: Eukaryota; Metazoa; Chordata; Mammalia; Primates; Lemuridae.